UCCCUCCCCUCCCUUCCCUUUUUGUGCGGCGCCGGGCAUCUGAAACCCUAGGUCUGACGAUUCAGUUUCGCCGCGGAGCGAGACACGAAGACCCAGCUUGCGCCUCAAAAAAACUUUAUGGUUAAUGAAGGUUGAAUGACGUUUAGGAUUUUCGUGUUGGUUGAUUGCAAAUUAGGUAGUUAUGGUGAGCUGUUCGACUUCUUUGAACGUGAACGCUUCACUAGGUAUUAUAAUGUGUAAGUAUACUGAGUUCUUCUUUAGAGACCUCCAUAAAGAAUCUGGCAUGAUGUCUAUUGUUAGUAUCUGAAACAAGUACUAGUACUGGCAGAUUAUUCAGUGCAUUAAAUCAACUGCGUUUAGAGGUCUGUAUUAACCUUGUUUCAGCGCAUUAAAUUAACGGCGCUCACCUUAUUUGGAUUAGGAUCAGAAGCAGUUCAGUGCUCAUAUACUAUGCUGAACCCACCAUUCAUUUUUCUUAUAAAACUUUUUAUACAAGUUUGCAUUGCCUUUGGGUUUUGUAUAUGGACAAUAGGAUAUGGAAAACCAUUAAACUUUCCUACUGAUUCUGAUGCCCAUGUGGCUGCUUCUAUGGUGGUUUCCUGUAAAGCUGUCUAGAUUGUCAAGUCCUGCAUAACAUAAUUGAACUAAGAAAUGAGCUUAUGCGGUCAUAUAAUUUGGAGUCUCCUGCCAAAAUUAUCAUGUUUCUGUAUGCCUGAUCUAAAAAGGAUAUCGAAACAGUUGCUUAUUACACCUGUUUGGAGUACUGUCCGACAAACUUGUUCUUGGUUAGCAUUUAUCGAAGUUGAUGUUUGAACUUACAGGGGAAAAAAGGGUCAUGAGCCCAGCCUUGACAUAAAACUUGUAUAUGUGAUCUGCUGAUGAGUAGUUCUGUUGCUAUGAAGAUGCUAAAACGUAGAAGAAGCUUGAAGAGGAAUGAAAGUGUCGAUGAUCUCACAAGAAGUUCAAAGAAGAAUAAAAGAACUUAUCUGACAAGAACCUCAACAAAGAACAAAAUAAUUCGCAAUGAAGGAGAGACAACUGAGUUACUGAUUUCAGGUGACUUGCAUCUGGAAUCAAAUCGUCUGGAGCGAGCUCAGUGAACAAGUUGUAUCAAAGUUGUCUAAAAGUGUUGUCUCGCUUUCUCUAUCCAAUGGACGCAUGGUGUUAUUUACAUGCUCGGGCAUAGCUGUACAACGCGAGAGGAAUAUUACAAGGUUUGUGACUUCAGCAAGCUUGGUUAAAGCUUUAUUUAAAGAAAAAAAAUACCACGAUAACUUAAAGGUCAAAGUAUGCCAUAAAGACAGUGUCGUUAUAGGGUUCUUGGGAGAAUAUGAUCUAGAUUGCAAUUUUGCUGUUGUCAACGCCAAGAACUUCCUGGAUCUUGAAACCGUAGGUUUCAGAUAUCUGUUGGAAUUUCCACCUGAUGGUAAUGUGGUAUCUGUAGGGCAUGAAAUCUCUGGCAACUUAAGAGCAUCUCCAGCAAGGCCAACAAACAGAGACCCUAUUCACAUUUUAGAAGCCAGAGCUAAAAAAUGAAGUCCAGCAGGGGUCGUAUCCUACCUCCUAAAAUGUGCAGAUCGCUAUCUUAGCCUCCCGAGCACAAGUGGGAUACUAAAGUGUGAUUUAAGCAGAUCUGUCCCAUCACUUGUGAGAACAACUUGUAAAAUCUCUAAGGUUUGUGAAGGUGGGGCAGUUUUUUAUUAUGAUGGAAACUUUCUUGGCAUGAAUCUUGUUUUCAGUACCGAAGGAACCUUGUUCAUGCCAGAGUACAGACUUCAUGAAAAGUUGUUUCAUUUCUGUACACCCGUGGAAGAGAUUAGAUUUCCUAAGAAAGUCAGGGUUGAAGAAAGUUCCAAUGGUGAGAUGCCUAACUCUCAUCAAGAAGGUGAGCGUAUAGAGGCUUUAAAUAUCUAGGUCAUCAAGAUGUGCUUAACGAGGAUCGAUUUAGGGAUCUAGAAUCCUUGGGCUAUCCUGAACCACCGAAAUCAAUGUUAAAUGGUGAGUCAAUGCCUUUAAAUAUUGUGACUUUUCAUGCAUUUUGUUUUCUACAGCUUUGCUGUCUUCCACUUACUAGUAAUGUACCUUGCAUCUUCAACCAGAUGGCACUAUUUUUGCUGAUGAAGAUGGCACUAUUUUGGCUAAUGAAGAUGCCAUUAUUUUGGCUAAUAAUUUUGAAGAACCUUUUGGCGACAUAUGUGGUAGAGGUGUCUGGAAUGAACUAAGUGAAACAGUUGCCUUUAGCAUACAUGACAAUAUCGUUGCACUUGCUUCAUUCCAUGGAGAAAAAAGGUUUUUUUGCAUGCACAGGUUUUUUAAUUGAAUGGAAUGGGUGUACCACUAUUCUGACUGCAGCGAGUUUGAUUAGAGAUUCUUUAAAUCUUAAAGACAAGAUGUCAGGGCGUUGUCCUCUCAAGGCGUAGGAGUGGGACACCGGAGGCUGGGGACGAGGAUCCCGGCGGCGGCGCGGAGCGGACGCCGUCCUGACGGCCGGCGACUGUGCGGACGUAACUGCAGAGGAGCGUGGGGAAGAUGCAGGGGAAACAGAGGGAGAUGCAGGGGGCGCCUGAGAUCUUGAGCUGCUGUGUGCGCCAGUUCUAGUACUGUAGGUAAGCAAGCUGACUGUGGGUGAACAUAUACCCGUGAUCCUUUGAGAAUUAGGCCCUGAUCAGAGUGCCAACUAUCACCACGAAGUUCUGUAAUGUUAUCUCUGAGAGUUUGGAGAUGUGGGCUCUCAUUUAAUUCAGUGCGAAGUUCCUCAAAUAACUGAUAAGAAGGGCUGGACAGCACGCAUAGUUGCUGAUCAUGUUGCCUGGAGAGUGCAUCAGCCACUAUGUUGAGGUGCCCCGGUCUAUAUUCGACAGAGAAAUCGAAGCCAAAUAGCUUGCUGAUCCACUGAUGUUGAGGGACAGUUGAUAGACAUUGGUCUAGCAUAAAUUUGAGUGCAUAAUGAUCUGUCCUGAUAAUGAAUUUGCGUCCCCACAAAUAUGGCCUCCAGUGGCGUACUGCUUGAACAAGUCCUAUUAGUUCCCGUUCAUAUGCUGCUAUUUUGAGGUGGCGAACUGCAAAUGGUCUGCUAUAAAAUGCCAAUGGCCCUUCAUUUUGGUGAAGGACAGCACCGAAGCCCGACCCCGAUGCAUCACAGUCGACCACAAAUGGUUUGGAGAAAUUGGGAAGGUGGAGAACAGGUGCUGAUGACAAUGCAUUCUUGAGAUUUUGAAAUGAGUUGGCUGCUGUGUCAGACCAUAUAAAUCCAUUCUUUUUUAGCAGGUUUGUGAGAGGAGCAGCUAUGAUGCCAUAAUUUUUGAUGAAGCGGCGAUAGUAGCCAGCAAGGCCUAGAAAUCCUCUCAGUGCUCUUGCAGAAGUGGGUUGGGGCCAGGACUGAACUGCUUUAACCUUGUCAACAUCCAUUGCAACACCGUAUGCAGAAAUUUCAUGGCCCAGGUAGUGGACAGAUGAAGUAGCAAAGGAACACUUGGACCUUUUGACUUGUAAUUUGUGCUCACGUAAGACAGAGAACACAGCCCGCAGGUGCAUCAAAUGUUCAGACCAAGAACUGCUGUAGAUUAAUAUGUCAUCGAAGAAAACCAACACACACUUGCGGAGGAAUUGGUGCAAAACUGAGUUCAUAUGACUUUGAAAGGUGGCUGGUGCAUUUGUUAGACCAAAGGGCAUUACCAAGAAUUCAAAAUGGCCAUGGUGAGUGCGAAACGCAGUCUUGGCAAUAUCAUCAGGAUGUACACGUACUUGAUGGUACCCUGCCCGAAGAUCUAACUUUGUAAAGAAGCGGGCUCCUUGUAAUUCAUCAAUUAAAUCUUCUACAAUGGGUAUGGGAAACUUAUCCUUGACUGUUUUUUCAUUCAGAGCUCUAUAAUCCACGCAAAAGCGCCAUGUGCCAUCUUGUUUCUUCACCAAUAGUACAGGAGCCGAGAAGGGACAAUUGCUGGGCCGAAUGAUCCCCUGUUCAAGCAUUGUGUUACACUGCUGCUCUAAUUCAUGUUUUUGAAGAUGUGGGUAGCGAUAGGGUCUGACGGCCACUGGUGCAGUGUUUGGAAGAAGAUGGAUGCGGUGAUCACAUUCUCGGGCUGGUGGUAAACCAGUAGGCAGCU
Panicum virgatum (switchgrass) is the source of this 4106-nucleotide long non-coding RNA. RefSeq lists it as uncharacterized. NCBI's taxonomy places the organism in Eukaryota, Viridiplantae, Streptophyta, Magnoliopsida, Poales, Poaceae. The transcript has 9 exons. The record is from RefSeq and is a predicted model, not a curated record.